RNAcentral lists this ribosomal RNA (411 nucleotides) under uncultured Chloroflexota bacterium. RNAcentral describes it as "bacterial SSU rRNA". It matches the Rfam family "Bacterial small subunit ribosomal RNA", at positions 958 to 1385 of the family's 1533-position model. Lineage: Bacteria; Bacillati; Chloroflexota. The record is from RNAcentral.
AACGCGAAGAACCUUACCAGGACUUGACAUGCAACUGCACCACCCGUAAUGGGGUGUCCCUUCGGGGCGAUUGCACAGGUGCUGCAUGGCUGUCGUCAGCUCGUGUCGUGAGAUGUUGGGUUCAGUCCCGCAACGAGCGCAACCCCUGCCGCUAGUUAGGAUGUCUAGCGGGACCGCCGCGAUCAACGCGGAGGAAGGCGGGGAUGACGUCAAGUCAGCACGGCCCUUACGUCCUGGGCUACACACACGCUACAAUGGUCGGUACAACGGGCUGCCAACCCGCGAGGGGGAGCCAAUCCCAACAAAACCGGCCUCAGUUCAGAUUGUAGGCUGAAACCCGCCUGCAUGAAGGAGGAGUUGCUAGUAACCGUGGGUCAGCACACUACGGUGAAUACGUUCCCGGGCCUUGUA